CGUCUUCUACUAAUCGGCCGAUGUCCCCUUGAAGGAGGGAUCGGAUGCUGGAAAGUUUGGCUCGGACGUCAUCAGGAACGGAACUCAAGGCGACUUGGCGAGAAGCAACUUCUUCGUCGUCAGAGAGGGCGACCGCAAAAGAAAAGAGGCUGUUGUCGGGGGUAUCCUGUUCCUGAAGAUAAUAAAGAAAAGAAAUAAACCAGCUGUAAGUAAGAGCAAAUCGGCUAAGAUAGAAGCCGAAACAGAAAAUUACCGUUUUGAAGCGAAUCUCCUCAUGUUGCACUUGAGAAGCCGCUAUGCCUUGCUCG
This 308-nucleotide long non-coding RNA is filed under the name Setaria italica (foxtail millet). Its description in RNAcentral is "long non-coding RNA (SITA_LNC001227)". The record is from RNAcentral. Lineage: Eukaryota; Viridiplantae; Streptophyta; Magnoliopsida; Poales; Poaceae.